UAGAACUCUCAGCUCUGCCUGUGCCAUGCCUGCCUGGAUACUUCCAUGCUCCCACCUUGAUGAUAAUGGACUGAACCUCUGAACCUACUCCAAGGAGGAGAUGAGAUAAACUGAAUCAUCUUUUCUUGCUAUUAUGAAAAGUCACACCAAACAAGUCUGCUUGGAUGUUAUUAAGGAUAACAACCUCUUUAAAAUGGACCUACAAUGAAUCAUUCCUCAUAUGAGCUGAACCAAGACCACGAUGAACAUGCUGACGUUCAGUAGAAAUAUCACACAGAAAUAUCCCACAACUGUGAUAUAGAACACCACAUUGCUGUUGAUCCAGCAACUGGAUGGGGAAGAAGAGAGGAGGAAAAUAUAAUGGUGAAAAUAUGCUUGCUCCAAGUGAUGAACUGAAUCUAUAAUGUUUUGAUGAAACAAUUUUUUCCCCUCAAGUAAAAAAAUAAAAAAAAACAAAACAAAGA
RNAcentral lists this long non-coding RNA (464 nucleotides) under Mus pahari (shrew mouse). RNAcentral's name for it is "lncRNA (MGP_PahariEiJ_G0004027.1)". The record is from RNAcentral. Lineage: Eukaryota; Metazoa; Chordata; Mammalia; Rodentia; Muridae.